UAAUACUCCAUAGAUUAGAGACACUGGAAUGUUCUUUAGUCGAAAGUUCUGGCGCCUUAGGAUGGAUCUGCGGCCGAUUAGGUAGUUGUUGGGGUAACGGCCCAACAAGCCUGUAAUCGGUACGGGUUGUGGGAGCAAGAGCCCGGAGAUGGAAUCUGAGACACAAUUCCAGGCCCUACGGGGCGCAGCAGGCGCGAAAACUUUACAAUGCAGGAAACUGUGAUAAGGGAACUCCGAGUGCCCGUAUACGCGGGCUGUCCAGGUGUUUAAAAAUCAUCUGAAGAAAGGGCCGGGCAAGACCGGUGCCAGCCGCCGCGGUAAUACCGGCGGCUCGAGUGGUGGCCACUAUUAUUGGGCUUAAAGCGUCCGUAGCUGGACCGAUAAGUCUCUUGGGAAAUCCGCCGGCUCAACCGGCGGGCGUCUAAGGGAUACUGUUAGUCUAGGGACCGGGAGAGGUGAGAGGUACUCCGGGGGUAGGAGUGAAAUCCUGUAAUCCCCGGGGGACCACCGAUGGCGAAGGCAUCUCACCAGAACGGCUCCGACAGUGAGGGACGAAAGCUGGGGGAGCGAACCGGAUUAGAUACCCGGGUAGUCCCAGCCGUAAACUAUGCGCGUUAGGUGU
RNAcentral lists this ribosomal RNA (622 nucleotides) under uncultured archaeon. RNAcentral's name for it is "bacterial SSU rRNA". It matches the Rfam family "Archaeal small subunit ribosomal RNA", at positions 147 to 774 of the family's 1478-position model. The record is from RNAcentral.